UAACAUGAUUUGAUUCUUUAAAACCAGGCAAUAGAGAGAAAACAGAGCAGAUCAUGGAUAGCAAAUGGUUCAAUUGUAGAUAGAAGACACAUGAUGCAAGGUGUUAACUGAUGUGACUAUGUAUCCAUCACCAGGAAUCCCAAGAGCAACAUGGAAGUCUCCAUCAGUAGGCAUGCAAUGAAUCAAAACAAGAGUGAGUUGUGAAAUCAAAUGUCUACAAAUGACAGCUGGCUAGUGACUGGAGAAACACAUCUGUCCUGUCUUACUGAUGGCCUAUGAUGUGGUGUAGCAUUUGGAAUUUUCCAUUGCAGUUUUCAAAGUCAUCUCCAAAGUUUAUGGUAUCAGUAUUAGAUUGGAAAAUCAUACUCUAAAACUUUAUUUUAAAGAAAGACUGGUGAAUCAUAAUAGACAAAUGAUUACAAAAAUAAAGGCAAGAAAAGUUAUGAACUGCUGAACUGAAGAAGAUAAAGGAUUUCACUUCUAAGUGGAAAUCACAAACUUGUAGAGACAAAGAAAAUGUUCAUGAUGGGACACACCUCGGUUCAAAUGCUGGACUGGUUCCACCCACUCUUUCAACCAUUACACUUAUUUUCAAAGUCCAAGACUUGCCUGAUAUGGGCUGUCAUAUGGAGACACACUAGCUUGGAAAGACAUGCAAGGAAGCAAUAGUUACUCCUGAAGACUUGGAGAGACCCCUCAGAAGCUUCACGGGACAGGAGUCAGUCACCAACUAUGUCUUACCAUAGUGCCUAGGAAUGUGACAACCAGACACCAGAGGGUCAUAGCUUCGAAACUUGCCAAGACAUCCGAGACAAUUUGAAUAAAUGUAUUAAGGAAAUAAUAAGCCUAUUUAUUUUUAUUCACCAAAUACCUUGGGACAAGUUUAUUUAUUGUACUAAUUGUUUGAGUAUGGAUGGG
This 918-nucleotide long non-coding RNA is filed under the name Cricetulus griseus (Chinese hamster). RNAcentral's name for it is "lncRNA (ENSCGRG00000025927.1)". The record is from RNAcentral. Lineage: Eukaryota; Metazoa; Chordata; Mammalia; Rodentia; Cricetidae.